RNAcentral lists this unclassified non-coding RNA (264 nucleotides) under Sphaerobolus sp. RNAcentral describes it as "partial contains 5.8S ribosomal RNA, internal transcribed spacer 2, and large subunit ribosomal RNA". The record is from RNAcentral. Lineage: Eukaryota; Fungi; Basidiomycota; Agaricomycetes; Geastrales; Sphaerobolaceae. RNAcentral also lists the same sequence under 1 other name.
AACGCACAUUGCGCCUCUCGGCAUUCCGAGGGGCACGCCUGUUCGAGCGCCAUUACACACCCCAAGCUCUGCUUGAUGUUGGACCAGGCCGAAGCCGGCCGGACCGAAACGCGUGGGCGCCGUCCGCCUUCCCCGAGCGUAGCAAGAAAGCAAUUUCAAUCGCUCCGUGGUCGGAGGUGGACGUGCCGUCUGAAGUGUGGUGCAAACCGCAGACUUUUUCCAAAGUUUGGCCUCGGAUCAGGCGGGGAUACCCGCUGAACUUAA